GUCUAUGGCUAUGCCACCCUGAACAUGCCCAAUCCUGUCUGAUCUCAGAAGCUAAGCAGGGUCAGGCCUGGUUAGUACUUGGAUGGGAGACCACCUAAGAAGACAGGGUUCUGUAGGCA
This 119-nucleotide ribosomal RNA is filed under the name Pteropus alecto (black flying fox). The record is from RNAcentral. Lineage: Eukaryota; Metazoa; Chordata; Mammalia; Chiroptera; Pteropodidae.